AGCAUGUGGUUAAUCGAAGCACGCGAAGAACCUUACCAGGCCUUGACAUGCUAGGAACCCGGGUGAAAGCCUGGGUGCCCCGCGAGGGAGCCCUAGCACAGGUGCUGCAUGGCCGUCGUCAGCUCGUGCCGUGAGGUGUUCGGGGUUAAGUCCCGCAACGAGCGCAACCCGUACUGCCUGUUACCAGCGCGUAAUGGCGGGGACUCUGGCAGGACUGCCCGUGUUAAGCGGGAGGAAGGUGCGGAUGACGUCAAGUCAGUAUGGCCCUUACAUCCAGGGCUGCACACGUGCUACAAUGGGUGGUACAGUGGGACGCAAGACCGCGAGGUGGAGCUAAUCCCCAAAACCACCCCCAGUUCAGAUCGGAGUCUGCAACUCGACUCCGUGAAGCCGGAAUCGCUAGUAAAGGCGUAUCAGCUACGACGCCUUGAAUACGUUCCCGGGCCUU
This 448-nucleotide ribosomal RNA is filed under the name uncultured Victivallaceae bacterium. Its description in RNAcentral is "bacterial SSU rRNA". It matches the Rfam family "Bacterial small subunit ribosomal RNA", at positions 936 to 1382 of the family's 1533-position model. Lineage: Bacteria; Pseudomonadati; Lentisphaerota; Lentisphaeria; Victivallales; Victivallaceae. The record is from RNAcentral.